UUACAAUGAAGAGUUUGAUCCUGGCUCAGGAUGAACGCUAGCUACAGGCUUAACACAUGCAAGUCGAGGGGCAUCAGGAAGAAAGCUUGCUUUCUUUGCUGGCGACCGGCGCACGGGUGAGUAACACGUAUCCAACCUGCCCUUUACUCGGGGAUAGCCUUUCGAAAGAAAGAUUAAUACCCGAUAGCAUAAUGAUUCCGCAUGGUUUCAUUAUUAAAGGAUUCCGGUAAAGGAUGGGGAUGCGUUCCAUUAGGUNGUUGGUGAGGUAACGGCUCACCAAGCCUUCGAUGGAUAGGGGUUCUGAGAGGAAGGUCCCCCACAUUGGAACUGAGACACGGUCCAAACUCCUACGGGAGGCAGCAGUGAGGAAUAUUGGUCAAUGGGCGCUAGCCUGAACCAGCCAAGUAGCGUGAAGGAUGAAGGCUCUAUGGGUCGUAAACUUCUUUUAUAUAAGAAUAAAGUGCAGUAUGUAUACUGUUUUGUAUGUAUUAUAUGAAUAAGGAUCGGCUAACUCCGUGCCAGCAGCCGCGGUAAUACGGAGGAUCCGAGCGUUAUCCGGAUUUAUUGGGUUUAAAGGGAGCGUAGGUGGACUGGUAAGUCAGUUGUGAAAGUUUGCGGCUCAACCGUAAAAUUGCAGCUGAUACUGUCAGUCUUGAGUACAGUAGAGGUGGGCGGAAUUCGUGGUGUAGCGGUGAAAUGCUUAGAUAUCACGAAGAACUCCGAUUGCGAAGGCAGCUCACUGGACUGCAACUGACACUGAUGCUCGAAAGUGUGGGUAUCAAACAGGAUUAGAUACCCUGGUAGUCCACACAGUAAACGAUGAAUACUCGCUGUUUGCGAUAUACAGUAAGCGGCCAAGCGAAAGCAUUAAGUAUUCCACCUGGGGAGUACGCCGGCAACGGUGAAACUCAAAGGAAUUGACGGGGGCCCGCACAAGCGGAGGAACAUGUGGUUUAAUUCGAUGAUACGCGAGGAACCUUACCCGGGCUUAAAUUGCAGUGGAAUGAUGUGGAAACAUGUCAGUGAGCAAUCACCGCUGUGAAGGUGCUGCAUGGUUGUCGUCAGCUCGUGCCGUGAGGUGUCGGCUUAAGUGCCAUAACGAGCGCAACCCUUAUCUUUAGUUACUAACAGGUUAUGCUGAGGACUCUAGAGAGACUGCCGUCGUAAGAUGUGAGGAAGGUGGGGAUGACGUCAAAUCAGCACGGCCCUUACGUCCGGGGCUACACACGUGUUACAAUGGGGGGUACAGAAGGCAGCUAGCGGGUGACCGUAUGCUAAUCCCAAAAUCCUCUCUCAGUUCGGAUCGAAGUCUGCAACCCGACUUCGUGAAGCUGGAUUCGCUAGUAAUCGCGCAUCAGCCACGGCGCGGUGAAUACGUUCCCGGGCCUUGUACACACCGCCCGUCAAGCCAUGGGAGCCGGGGGUACCUGAAGUACGUAACCGCAAGGAUCGUCCUAGGGUAAAACUGGUGACUGGGGCUAAGUCGUAACAAGGUAGCCGUACCGGAAGGUGCGGCUGGAACACCUCCUUUCU
Molecule: ribosomal RNA, 1533 nt
Filed under: Bacteroides fragilis
Lineage: Bacteria; Pseudomonadati; Bacteroidota; Bacteroidia; Bacteroidales; Bacteroidaceae
Description: 16S ribosomal RNA
Rfam family: Bacterial small subunit ribosomal RNA
Source: RNAcentral